UGCCCGCUAGACAUGUACACCUUACAAUCAUUCCAUACAACAAAUAUAGUAAACCUAUUGCAUAAAGUAUGAGAAAAACAGACCAAAACACAAAAACUUAACUAUAACCACUGAACAAUGAAAAUGAGGUCAAGGUCAGAUGACACCUGCCAGUUGGACAUGUACACCUUACAGUCCUUCCAUACACCUAAUAUACUAGACCUAUUGCUUAUAGUAUCUGAGAUAUGGACUUGACCACCAAAACUUAACCAUGUUCACUGAUCCAUGAAAUGAGGUCGAGGUCAAGUGAAAACUGUCUGACGGGCAUGAGAACCUUGCAAGGUACGCACAUACUAAAUAUAGUUAUCCUAUUACUUACAGUAAGAGAGAAUUUAACAU
Molecule: long non-coding RNA, 378 nt
Filed under: Mytilus galloprovincialis (Mediterranean mussel)
Lineage: Eukaryota; Metazoa; Mollusca; Bivalvia; Mytilida; Mytilidae
Source: RNAcentral